Molecule: long non-coding RNA, 3227 nt
Organism: Erinaceus europaeus (western European hedgehog)
Lineage: Eukaryota; Metazoa; Chordata; Mammalia; Eulipotyphla; Erinaceidae
Exons: 6
Source: RefSeq, a predicted model, not a curated record
CAUUUGGCUGCCAAGCGGACUGGACGACCCAGUCGGUGAGGCCAGGCGAGGAGAGGUCCCGGACCCACUUGGCGAGCCAGCCCAGGAGGCUGUGGCAGAGGCUGGCUGUGGCGGCUGUGUGCGCAGCCUGGCCAAGGACACCUCCCUCAGUUGCAUUUGGUUGCCAGGCGGACUGGACUGCCCAGUCGGCGAGGCAAGGCGAAUAGAGGACCCGGACCCACUUGGCAAGCCAUCCCCAGAGGCUUAGGCGGAGGCUGGCUGUGGUGGCUAUGUGCGCAGCCUAGCCGAGGACACCUUCCCCAGAUUGGAAGUGAUGUUGAUAGAAAGAAUAUUUUGGCAUUGGAAGUACUCAUAGCUGCCCACAAAGAAGUGCUUUUGUUGUCACUUGCCUGAACUCCCUUCUUUGGGUAAGAUAAAAAACAGUGCACUCUGAAAGGUGAUGACAAAAUGUAGAAGAAAAUCUGCUUGUGGCUUUGCCUUAUUUCUUGAAUGUCAGCUCCAAAACCUGAGUGACAGCUUCUGAGUUGGCAUUCUCCACCCCUACUGUGGUCACUUGAAUACCCCUGCAGAAGUUGAUUCCUUGGGAAUUGUUCUGGGAAUGCAUGGAACCAGUAAACUCGUCAAGAAGACUCGAGGCAGAUCAUCUUUUCAUACACAUUGUCUCUAGGCCACCCUCUGGUGGGGAUGACCACAAAAGCAAGCUGGAUUUGUCACUGUGGGUACCAUUACCUCUACCACCAACAUCACCGAAACAAUGAUACAGUCUUCCUUAAGCAUGGAGACUCCUCUCCUUCCGUGUUGCAGUGGACACCUCCUGCAGAUAAGAAAUGCUUAACUGAGAAAUGCUCAUGUUGGGAUAUCAUCGAUGAGACUUUAAUUUGGGCAUGGUGACUGUUUCCCCUGCUGCCGCUUGCCUCAAUCCCAGGAGCCUCAGUAGAGGAAAUAAUAUUAUACAAGAAACUCAAAAUGAUGGAAUUGCUUAGUGCUCCCAUAAAAUAUACAUUUAUAAUUUUAUUUGCCAUGUCGUAAAAUUUAAAAUUAGGAUACAUUAAAAGGAAAGUUUGCAUAAUUUUUUAAUUCAAAGAAUACCUAAACAUUUCAUAUAUAAACUGAAUACCUCUUCUUUCCAAAUUCAUCCCCCAGAAUGUUCUUCUUUCCAAGGAGUUGUGUGCAUUUUUUAAGUAGCUAAUGCACACAAAGUUAUUUCGGGGGGUUGUGGAAAUAAAGCCACAUUGUACACAUUCUUCUGCAAAUUGCCUUUCAUUUAACAGUUUCUCAACCUUGUUUUUCUAAUUAAGUAAUAGGCAUCUGUGUCAUUUUUUGGAUGACAUGACUGUUUUGUAGUUGAACAACUAUUAAAUGUUUUAAGCAUUUCUCAUAGGUAUUUAUGUUAGCACCAAAUUCUGUGCCAUGAGCCUCCUUACAUAGCAAUAAUUUUGCUUUGUCUAUUAUAACUUAAUAAAUUAUUUACCAGUUGUAAUACUGGGACUAAGGACAUAUACAAUUUUUUCAAUUUUUGAAAAUUAUUCCAUGAUUUACAUUAAAAUGUUGUGAUAAUUUUAUCCUCAUAUGGCAAUUUGAAAUAUUGCCAGUUUUCCCAGACCUUUAACAGAUCACGAAUUUUAUAAACAUCUAAAGACCUUUGCCAAUGUGAUAGCCCAAACUAUUGUCUUUCUUUUGUUUUGAGUUUGAUCAUUUUCAUGUUUACUAGUCAUCUGUAUUUUUUUUUAAUUUAUUUUAUGUCCAAUAUUGGGGGCGGGGAAUAUCUUGGUCUCUUCCUAAUUUGGAAGAGGUCAUUCAUUAUGGGGGAGUAAUCUUCAGAUUGUCAAGCAUUACAGAUAUUUUCUAUACACUUUAAACUUGACUUCUGUUAUAAGAAUGUGUAUGAUUGUUCUGUGUCCAAGUAUAACCAUGUCUGCUUCUAUAGCUGCUGAGUUUCAUGUCAUUUUGGAAAGUUAUUUAUACUGAUUCCAUAAAACUCUUCACCUAUGUUAACUUCUAAUUAUUUUGUGUUUUUAAUUCAAAUUCUUAAAACCAUGAGAAUUUUUUAUUUGAAAUCUUAAAGUUGCCAAGUUAUUUGCCAUUACUUGCGAUUAUUUGCCAAUAAUUGCCCAUUUAUCUGUAAUGCCAUCUUGCACAUAUGCUGUAUUAUCAUCUGUGACUGGCUUCAUUUUUGUUCUGUGGGUCUGUGUGUCUCUUCUUCUGCCUCCUGUCUCAUGUGUCUUCUCAUUGGAAGAAAUUACAGUUUAGACUGCAAUUUCAUCAACAUUAAUAAAUUAAUUUAGGGGAUACUUGGUCUUAAUAAGUCUUCCUAUCCAAGGACAAGGUACGUCUUUAUUUUAUUCAAUACUUUUCAUAAUGGAUAUGUUUUAAUUUUGUGAUGGGAUAUUAUCUUACAUUUUAUUUUCUUGGCUUGGUGGGAAUAAGUGGUCUCUUUCUUAUUUCUCAUGACUUUUCAGAUAUUUUUUUCCAAAGUAUGUACUAAGUUCUCUGAAAAUUCUAACAGUUUGUAUUCUGAAUUUCCAUAUGACUAGGAUUUUAGUUAUGUUGAUAAUUUCUUUGAUAUUUUUAGAGCAUGUAAACAAUUGGGAAAAGAAGCCCACCCUUGACCCAGGGUUGAAUGGAAUACUUCUUUGGUUUAUCCUGCUGUUGCUUGUUAGUUCCCCAGAAAGAUUCCCAGAAUGAGCUAUGAUGAAAGCAAGCAGAGUUUAUUAAACCUGUCACAACAAAGGAAAAUACCGCUCUGACCAUCUUAGUACUAUUUCAAAAACAGGAAUUUAGGACUUGGAGUCUUGGGGAUGAUGUGGUAGAAAAGGGAAUUUCCAAGGUAGAAAACCUAUAAAGAAUGGUCAAAAUUGCUCUACAGUCAUUUUAAGGUUGGUAAAAGAGUAAAGUCAGGAUAUAAAUAUGAGUCUAUAUAAUCUGUAAUUAUAAUCUAUAAUCCAACUGUCUGAUAGUAAACUUGCCUAUAUGAGUAAUGUGUUAUCAAUAAUGAAGAGAUAUUUGUAUGUAUCAGUAAAUUGGGAGUUAAAUUAUGGGUAUACAUUCCUAUACAUUGGUAUACAUAGAACUCACUUGGGGUGGUAUUCAGUCUUAGUUCCAAGAGAUAGUUUAUUUUGAUGUGGAUGCCAAUUUUAAAUUUGACAUUUUGUAUGUCAUAUCAGGAAAACUUCCCACCUUUCAUAUUCUAUAAUGGAUUCCAAUAAAACCAAGAGACAUUGUAAUCA